RNAcentral lists this transfer RNA (72 nucleotides) under Bos taurus (domestic cattle). It matches the Rfam family "tRNA". Rfam says of the family: Transfer RNA (tRNA) molecules are approximately 80 nucleotides in length. Their secondary structure includes four short double-helical elements and three loops (D, anti-codon, and T loops). RNAcentral also lists the same sequence under 3 other names. The record is from Rfam by way of RNAcentral. Lineage: Eukaryota; Metazoa; Chordata; Mammalia; Artiodactyla; Bovidae.
UUCCCUGUGGCUCAGAGGGUAAAGCAUCUGCCUGCAAUGCGGGAGACCCGGGUUUGAUCCCUGGCUUGGGAA